RNAcentral lists this ribosomal RNA (240 nucleotides) under uncultured eukaryote. RNAcentral's name for it is "partial 18S ribosomal RNA". It matches the Rfam family "Eukaryotic small subunit ribosomal RNA", at positions 1208 to 1456 of the family's 1831-position model. The record is from RNAcentral.
GGAAAUCUCACCAGGCCCGGACACUGGAAGGAUUGACAGACUGAGAGCUCUUUCUCGAUUCGGUGGGUGGUGGUGCAUGGCCGUUCUUAGUUGGUGGAGCGAUCUGUCUGGUUAAUUCCGAUAACGAACGAGACCCCAACCUGCUAACUAGCCCUCGGGUCCUGCUUCUGUUGGGCCCGACGGAAUGAUUCGCUUCUUAGAGGGACUCGCGGCGCCUAGCCGCACGAAGGGGGGCGAUAA